This 77-nucleotide transfer RNA is filed under the name Phenylobacterium sp. Root1277. RNAcentral describes it as "tRNA-Pro". It matches the Rfam family "tRNA". Rfam says of the family: Transfer RNA (tRNA) molecules are approximately 80 nucleotides in length. RNAcentral also lists the same sequence under 7 other names. The record is from RNAcentral. Lineage: Bacteria; Pseudomonadati; Pseudomonadota; Alphaproteobacteria; Caulobacterales; Caulobacteraceae.
CGGGGUGUAGCGCAGUCUGGUAGCGCACCUGGUUUGGGACCAGGGGGUCGGAGGUUCGAAUCCUCUCGCCCCGACCA